UAGCUUGCUAAGACCGAUGGCGACAGGCGCACGGGUGAGUAACACGUAUCCAACCUGCCGUCUACUCUUGGACAGCCUUCUGAAAGGAAGAUUAAUACAAGAUGGCAUCAUGAGUCCGCAUGUUCACAUGAUUAAAGGUAUUCCGGUAGACGAUGGGGAUGCGUUCCAUUAGAUAGUAGGCGGGGUAACGGCCCACCUAGUCUUCGAUGGAUAGGGGUUCUGAGAGGAAGGUCCCCCACAUUGGAACUGAGACACGGUCCAAACUCCUACGGGAGGCAGCAGUGAGGAAUAUUGGUCAAUGGGCGCAGGCCUGAACCAGCCAAGUAGCGUGAAGGAUGACUGCCCUAUGGGUUGUAAACUUCUUUUAUAAAGGAAUAAAGUCGGGUAUGUAUACCCGUUUGCAUGUACUUUAUGAAUAAGGAUCGGCUAACUCCGUGCCAGCAGCCGCGGUAAUACGGAGGA
This 462-nucleotide ribosomal RNA is filed under the name uncultured Bacteroidales bacterium. Its description in RNAcentral is "bacterial SSU rRNA". It matches the Rfam family "Bacterial small subunit ribosomal RNA", at positions 73 to 532 of the family's 1533-position model. The record is from RNAcentral. Lineage: Bacteria; Pseudomonadati; Bacteroidota; Bacteroidia; Bacteroidales.